This 430-nucleotide unclassified non-coding RNA is filed under the name soil metagenome. RNAcentral describes it as "partial contains 5.8S ribosomal RNA, internal transcribed spacer 2, and large subunit ribosomal RNA". The stretch from base 1 to 120 matches the Rfam family "5.8S ribosomal RNA", at positions 35 to 154 of the family's 154-position model. The record is from RNAcentral.
GAUGAAGAACGUAGUGAAAUGCGAUACGUAAUGUGAAUUGCAGAAUUCAGUGAAUCAUCGAAUCUUUGAGCGCAUAUUGCGCUCUCUGGUAUUCCGGAGAGCAUGCUUGUUUGAGUAUCAGUAAACACCUCAACUCCCUUUUCUUUUUUGAAAUUGGAGCUGGACUUGAGUGAUCCCAACGCUUUCUUCCAAGAAAGUGGCGGGUUGCUUGAAAUGCAGGUGCAGCUGAACUUUUCUCUGAGCUAUAAGCAUAUCUAUUUAGUCUGCCUAAAAAACAGAUUAUUACCUUUGCUGCAGCUAACAUAAAGGAGACUAGUUCUUGUGCUGACUGAUGCAGGAUUCACAGAGACAGCUUCGGCUGACUUUGUAAACUCGAUCUCAAAUCAAGUAAGACUACCCGCUGAACUUAAGCAUAUCAAUAAGCGGAGGA